AUACGUAGGUGGCAAGCGUUGUCGGGAUUUAUUGGGUUUAAAGGGUGCGUAGGCGGUCUUUUAAGUCAGUGGUGAAAUACUUCAGCUUAACUGGAGAGGUGCCAUUGAUACUGGGAGACUUGAGUACUGAUGAGGUAGGCGGAAUGGACGGUGUAGCGGUGAAAUGCUCAGAUAUCGUCCAGAACACCGAUAGCGAAGGCAGCUUACUAAGGAGUAACUGACGCUGAGGCACGAAAGUGUGGGGAUCAAACAG
RNAcentral lists this ribosomal RNA (253 nucleotides) under uncultured prokaryote. RNAcentral's name for it is "partial 16S ribosomal RNA". It matches the Rfam family "Bacterial small subunit ribosomal RNA", at positions 523 to 775 of the family's 1533-position model. The record is from RNAcentral.